Molecule: transfer RNA, 74 nt
Filed under: Poa secunda
Lineage: Eukaryota; Viridiplantae; Streptophyta; Magnoliopsida; Poales; Poaceae
Also listed under: 2 other names
Description: partial tRNA-Leu
Rfam family: tRNA
About the family: Transfer RNA (tRNA) molecules are approximately 80 nucleotides in length.
Source: RNAcentral
CGAAAUCGGUAGACGCUACGGACUUAAAAUCCGUCGACUUUAUAAGUCGUGAGGGUUCAAGUCCCUCUAUCCCC